UAGGUAACCUGCCUUGUAGCGGGGGAUAACUAUUGGAAACGAUAGCUAAUACCGCAUAACAAUGGAUGACACAUGUCAUUUAUUUGAAAGGGGCAAUUGCUCCACUACAAGAUGGACCUGCGUUGUAUUAGCUAGUAGGUGAGGUAAUGGCUCACCUAGGCGACGAUACAUAGCCGACCUGAGAGGGUGAUCGGCCACACUGGGACUGAGACACGGCCCAGACUCCUACGGGAGGCAGCAGUAGGGAAUCUUCGGCAAUGGGGGCAACCCUGACCGAGCAACGCCGCGUGAGUGAAGAAGGUUUUCGGAUCGUAAAGCUCUGUUGUAAGUCAAGAACGGGUGUGAGAGUGGAAAGUUCACACUGUGACGGUAGCUUACCAGAAAGGGACGGCUAACUACGUGCCAGCAGCCGCGGUAAUACGUAGGUCCCGAGCGUUGUCCGGAUUUAUUGGGCGUAAAGCGAGCGCAGGCGGUUUGAUAAGUCUGAAGUUAAAGGCUGUGGCUCAACCAUAGUUCGCUUUGGAAACUGUCAAACUUGAGUGCAGAAGGGGAGAGUGGAAUUCCAUGUGUAGCGGUGAAAUGCGUAGAUAUAUGGAGGAACACC
RNAcentral lists this ribosomal RNA (604 nucleotides) under Streptococcus thermophilus. RNAcentral's name for it is "bacterial SSU rRNA". It matches the Rfam family "Bacterial small subunit ribosomal RNA", at positions 118 to 710 of the family's 1533-position model. Lineage: Bacteria; Bacillati; Bacillota; Bacilli; Lactobacillales; Streptococcaceae. The record is from RNAcentral.